GUCGGAGUGCCUCGUGAGGUCAUCUCAGGCAGGUUUAACCACAUUCUGUACAGCAUCGCAGCUCCGGACGCCGCAGCGCGCGCACCACACGAAACGAGAAAGAAGGAAGAGGUGAUGAGUGAUUUGGUCCAAUUUGUUCCAGACAGACUGCUUAAUGUUCUGAAUAUGGAGAAGGACCGCAGGGAGGCAGGACGAUAGGAAGGUGAACAAGCAAGCGUGCAAAGAAAAACAAACCAAGUGACAUUCAGACAGAGAAAUGAGGGUGUAAAUGCUUUCUGAGGUUAACCAGUUGUAAUAUUCCAGUUAUGAAAAUGAGUACGAACAAACGAAAACAAACAAACGAAAGGAAAGAAGCAAGCGAGCAAACGAUAAGAAACAAGCGAGCAAGUGAGAAGACAGAAGCAAACGAAAGGAAAGAAACAAGCGAGCAAAGGGGGGGGAAGAGACAAACGAAAAGAAGCAAAGGAAAGAAGCAAGUGAGCAAGUGAGAAGACAGAAGCAAUGAAAGGAAAGAAGCAAGCGAGCAAACGGGGGGAAAAGAUACAAACGAAAGGAAAGAAGCAAGCGAGCAAACGAAAAGAAACAAGCGAGCAAGUGAGAAGACAGAAGCAAACGAAAGGAAAGAAGCAAGCGAGCAAACGGGGGGGAAAGAUACAAACGAAAAGAAGCAAACGAAAGGAAAGAAACAGGCGAGCUAACGAAAGGAAAGAAGCAAGCGUGCAAACGGGGGGGGGGGGAGUGACAAACGAAAAGAAGCAAACGAAAGGAAAGAAACAGGCGGGCAAACGAAAGGAAAUAAGCAAGCGUGCAAACGGGGGGGGAGUGACAAACGAAAAGAAGCAAACGAAAGGAAAGAAGCAAGCGAGCAAACGAAAAGAAACAUGCAAGCAAACGAAAAGAAACAAGCGAGCAAGUGAGAAGACAGAAGCAAACGAAAGGAAAGAAACAAGCGAGCAAACGGGGGGGAAAGUGACAAACGAAAAGAAGCAAACGAAAGGAAAGAAAGAGGCGGGCAAACGAAAGGAAAGAAGCAAGCGUGCAAACGGGGGGGGGGAGUGACAAACGAAAAGAACAUGCGAGCAAACGAAAAGAAAGAAGCAAAUGAAAGGAACGAAGCAAGCGAGCAAACGGAAAAGAAGUAAACGAGCAAACAGAAGGAAAGAAGCGGAUGAAAGGAAAAGACAAGCGAGCAAACGAAAGGAAAAACAACAAAAGAAAAAGAAACCAAAAUAAGAGUGGAAAUUAUUUGCUAUGUUGCCCAUGCGUAAUAUUCCAGAUAUGAAAAUGAAAGAAAGAAACAAAUAAAUUUAAAAAAGGGGAAACAUUAUUUUUGUCAAAUUUAGUUUUAAUCAUAUGAAUGAAAUGAACGUGUGUGUAAGAGAGAUAGAGAGAGAGAGAGAGAGAGAGAAAUAAACCUCAGUGGAGGAGGAGUAGCAGAAACAUUCUCGGUGUACUCUCAGCUGGAAUCAGAAUGAUUAUUUUGCUUAUUUAACACAAGAACAGCAAAGAACGACAGAAGAUCACACGGCAUAAGACAUAACGAAUGUAUUAAUCUUCAAUGACGGUUGUUCUAGAUCAUUGAUCACGAACCCUG
This is a long non-coding RNA of Ictalurus punctatus (channel catfish), 1594 nucleotides long. Lineage: Eukaryota; Metazoa; Chordata; Actinopteri; Siluriformes; Ictaluridae. The record is from Ensembl.